Dicentrarchus labrax (European seabass) is the source of this 1088-nucleotide long non-coding RNA. RefSeq lists it as uncharacterized. The record is from RefSeq and is a predicted model, not a curated record. The transcript is spliced from 3 exons. NCBI's taxonomy places the organism in Eukaryota, Metazoa, Chordata, Actinopteri, Moronidae.
CAGAUACACAGAGAUAAUUUUAUAAUUACCUUUAUCUUAAAGGAUAACACAUUUAAUGAUCAGGUUGUAAGCAGAUAUCAAUGAUCAUUUAGUUUAAAUCUGUAUCUUAGGAUUGUCUGUACUUCCUGUUCUGUUCUACUAGAUGGAGUUAUAUUUAGACUGCUGUGUGGUUUUCUACUGAUAGUCAGUUCAUCGACCGACACCAGGCCAGGCUAAAUGAGCACGAGCGACAAACCUUUUGACCUCUUUUGCUGAGCCAGACUUUAGCUGCCAGGUCUGUGAAGUAAACCCAACACGGAAGUGUCUUAAACCUGCAUUCUCUUUAACAGCCAACAGGGGGCAGCUCCACUCUGAUAGUAUUCAGAAUCAGAAAUACAUUAAUAAUCCCAGGGGGAAAUGAUUAUUUAUUGAGUCUUAUAGAGAAUUUAUGAGCUCAGUAAACAGUUUCCUGAUGAGUUUCUGGUCUCAGUCUCUAGUUUCAGUCUUCUUCCAUACAGCAUGAUGUUCAUUUAGUAACUGAUGGUCCCAUUUAGAGUAAAAUAGACCAUAAAGCAGGGUAUGCUUUAGGGCGGGGCUACCUUGUGAUUGACAGCUCAUUCUCGGUGAGUCCGUCCAGCUCAAUGAAACAAAAAAAACACACUAAGAAUACACUAAAGCCAUGAAAAAUACACCAGGCAAGCAGAAGUGUGUGUGGAUGGUUCAGGUGUGUAUGGAUGGGUCAGGUGUGUAUGGAUGGCUCAGGUGUGUAUGGAUGGUCAGGUGUGUAUGGAUGGGUCAGGUGUGUAUGGAUGGUCAGGUGUGUAUGGAUGGGUCAGGUGUGUAUGGAUGGUCAGGUGUGUAUGGAUGGUCAGGUGUGUAUGGAUGGGUCAGGUGUGUAUGGAUGGGUCAGGUGUGUAUGGAUGGGUCAGGUGUGUAUGGAUGGUCAGGUGUGUAUGGAUGGGUCAGGUGUGUAUGGAUGGGUCAGGUGUGUAUGGAUGGGUCAGGUGUGUAUGGAUGGGUCAGGUGUGUAUGGAUGGUCAGGUGUGUAUGGAUGGUCAGGUGUGUAUGGAUGGGUCAGGUGUGUCGGUUGCUUUCUGUCUGUUUAGCUC